Molecule: long non-coding RNA, 201 nt
Filed under: Homo sapiens (human)
Lineage: Eukaryota; Metazoa; Chordata; Mammalia; Primates; Hominidae
Description: HSALNT0157399
Source: RNAcentral
UGUAGCAUUAAUGUUCAGUUGACAGAAGGGCUCCACGGAGGAUGUGUCCUUUAGAUCACAGAGAUUGGAGAGUGCAAGAGAGGAGGCAAGAUGCCUCCCCCAACAAGAAGACACCCAUGGCAGAUCCUUAAGGUUGGAUAAAGACAAUUAGAACACCUCCCAGGAGGAGCCAAAGGAUGUUGUUCAUGAAAUCGUUCUCAA